UUUCCGUAGGUGAACCUGCGGAAGGAUCAUUCAUAAUAAAGUGUUUUAUGGCACUUUUUAAAAAUCCAUAUCCACCUUGUGUGCAAUGUUAGAUCUCGUCAAUCUUGGCGAGAUUUUUAUACAUCAACUCAUUUUUUAACUAAUUUGUCUGAAAAAUAUCAUGAGUACUUAAUUCAAAAUACAACUUUCAACAACGGAUCUCUUGGCUCUC
RNAcentral lists this unclassified non-coding RNA (211 nucleotides) under plant metagenome. Its description in RNAcentral is "partial contains small subunit ribosomal RNA, internal transcribed spacer 1, and 5.8S ribosomal RNA". The record is from RNAcentral.